Molecule: ribosomal RNA, 632 nt
Filed under: Turbinellus fujisanensis
Lineage: Eukaryota; Fungi; Basidiomycota; Agaricomycetes; Gomphales; Gomphaceae
Description: eukaryotic LSU rRNA
Rfam family: Eukaryotic large subunit ribosomal RNA
Source: RNAcentral
CGGAGGAAAAGAAACUAACAAGGAUUCCCCUAGUAACGGCGAGUGAAGCGGGAAGAGCUCAAAUUUGUAAUCUGGCGGCCUUUGGCCGUCCGAGUUGUAGUCUCGAGAAGCGUUUUCUGCGUCGGACCGUGUACAAGUCCCUUGGAACAGGGCGUCGUAGAGGGUGAGAAUCCCGUCUUUGACACGGACUGCCGGUGCUUUGUGAUGCGCUCUCAAAGAGUCGAGUUGUUUGGGAAUGCAGCUCAAAACGGGUGGUAAAUUCCAUCUAAAGCUAAAUAUGGGCGAAAGACCGAUAGCGAACAAGUACCGUGAGGGAAAGAUGAAAAGCACUUUGGAAAGAGAGUUAAACAGUACGUGAAAUUGCUGAAAGGGAAACGCUUGAAGUCAGUCGCGUCUCCCGGGACUCAGCCGUGCCUCUUGCACGGUGUACUUCCUGGGGUGUGACGGGCCAGCAUCGGUUUCGACCGUCGGAAAAAGGCUCUGGGAAUGUGGCACCUUUUCGGGUGUGUUUAUAGCCCUGGGUCGCAUGCGACGGUUGGGAUCGAGGACCGCAGCACGCCUUUUUGGCCGGGGUUCGCCCACGUUAACGUGCUUAGGAUGCUUGGCGUAAUGGCUUUAAGCGACCCGUCUUG